ACGGAACUUCGGUCUGGUGGCGAGUGGCGAACGGGUGAGUAAUGUAUCGGAACGUGCCCAGUAGCGGGGGAUAACUACGCGAAAGCGUAGCUAAUACCGCAUACGCCCUACGGGGGAAAGCAGGGGAUCGCAAGACCUUGCACUAUUGGAGCGGCCGAUAUCGGAUUAGCUAGUUGGUGGGGUAACGGCUCACCAAGGCGACGAUCCGUAGCUGGUUUGAGAGGACGACCAGCCACACUGGGACUGAGACACGGCCCAGACUCCUACGGGAGGCAGCAGUGGGGAAUUUUGGACAAUGGGGGAAACCCUGAUCCAGCCAUCCCGCGUGUGCGAUGAAGGCCUUCGGGUUGUAAAGCACUUUUGGCAGGAAAGAAACGUCGCGGGUUAAUACCCCGCGGAACUGACGGUACCUGCAGAAUAAGCACCGGCUAACUACGUGCCAGCAGCCGCGGUAAUACGUAGGGUGCAAGCGUUAAUCGGAAUUACUGGGCGUAAAGCGUGCGCAGGCGGUUCGGAAAGAAAGAUGUGAAAUCCCAGAGCUUAACUUUGGAACUGCAUUUUUAACUACCGGGCUAGAGUGUGUCAGAGGGAGGUGGAAUUCCGCGUGUAGCAGUGAAAUGCGUAGAUAUGCGGAGGAACACCGAUGGCGAAGGCAGCCUCCUGGGAUAACACUGACGCUCAUGCACGAAAGCGUGGGGAGCAAACAGGAUUAGAU
RNAcentral lists this ribosomal RNA (715 nucleotides) under uncultured Achromobacter sp. RNAcentral's name for it is "bacterial SSU rRNA". It matches the Rfam family "Bacterial small subunit ribosomal RNA", at positions 72 to 783 of the family's 1533-position model. The record is from RNAcentral. Lineage: Bacteria; Pseudomonadati; Pseudomonadota; Betaproteobacteria; Burkholderiales; Alcaligenaceae.